This 682-nucleotide ribosomal RNA is filed under the name uncultured bacterium. Its description in RNAcentral is "bacterial SSU rRNA". It matches the Rfam family "Bacterial small subunit ribosomal RNA", at positions 38 to 732 of the family's 1533-position model. The record is from RNAcentral.
GGCGGCGCGCCUAACCAUGCAAGUCGAACGGAGUUUGAGAGAGCUUGCUUUUUCAAACUUAGUGGCGAACGGGUGAGUAACGCGUGAGUAACCUGCCCUGGAGUGGGGGACAACAGUUGGAAACGACUGCUAAUACCGCAUAAGCCCACAGUGCCGCAUGGCACAGCGGGAAAAGGAUUUAUUCGCUUCAGGAUGGACUCGCGUCCAAUUAGCUAGUUGGUGAGGUAACGGCCCACCAAGGCGACGAUUGGUAGCCGGACUGAGAGGUUGAACGGCCACAUUGGGACUGAGACACGGCCCAGACUCCUACGGGAGGCAGCAGUGGGGGAUAUUGCACAAUGGGGGAAACCCUGAUGCAGCGACGCCGCGUGGAGGAAGAAGGUUUUCGGAUUGUAAACUCCUGUCGUUAGGGACGAUAAUGACGGUACCUAACAAGAAAGCACCGGCUAACUACGUGCCAGCAGCCGCGGUAAAACGUAGGGUGCAAGCGUUGUCCGGAAUUACUGGGUGUAAAGGGAGCGCAGGCGGACCGGCAAGUUGGAAGUGAAAUCUAUGGGCUCAACCCAUAAAUUGCUUUCAAAACUGCUGGCCUUGAGUAGUGCAGAGGUAGGUGGAAUUCCCGGUGUAGCGGUGGAAUGCGUAAAUAUCGGGAGGAACACCAGUGGCGAAGGCGACCUACUGG